This 274-nucleotide ribosomal RNA is filed under the name Priestia flexa. RNAcentral describes it as "Bacillus flexus partial 16S ribosomal RNA". It matches the Rfam family "Bacterial small subunit ribosomal RNA", at positions 555 to 829 of the family's 1533-position model. The record is from RNAcentral. Lineage: Bacteria; Bacillati; Bacillota; Bacilli; Caryophanales; Bacillaceae.
UGGGCGUAAGCGCGCGCAGGCGGUUUCUUAAGUCUGAUGUGAAAGCCCACGGCUCAACCGUGGAGGGUCAUUGGAAACUGGGGAACUUGAGUGCCGAAGAGAAAAGCGGAAUUCCACGUGUAGCGGUGAAAUGCGUAGAGAUGUGGAGGAACACCAGUGGCGAAGGCGGCUUUUUGGUCUGUAACUGACGCUGAGGCGCGAAAGCGUGGGGAGCAAACAGGAUUAGAUACCCUGGUAGUCCUCCCCGCCCACGAUGAGUGCUAAGUGUUAUAGG